GCAGGGGAUCCGGAUGCGAGGAAGGAGAGAGCGGAUGUGAUGUCAACAAUAAGCACAACAGUAUAUUCCAGCGGACGAUUUGGUGUUUGAGGACUGAUAUGGUGUUAAUCUCUUGUUGAGUUAUUCACAGGGGCCUUAUCGUUCACUGGCGUGACAAGCAUGUUCCCUGCUUCUUGCUCGCUCUCUUCGCAACAGCCGAACCUGGCUUUUUGAAGGCUCCUCAACCGAAGAUCACCACUAUCUGGUCCCAGAAAUCGUGAAAAGUCCCCGGCAGCUGCGUUUACUCAUUGCCAGUAUGAUGUUGGCUUCUAAAAUCUAACACCCGCGGGCUUAGCGUUGGUAGCUUCUUGCUCCGUCCAUCCUUUUGGAGUUCAUCGUGUUUAUUCCGUUUAAGACGAGUUCAAAAGGUGCUUUCCAAUUGAUGGCUUCAUCUUUUGCUGUACGUAAUAGGAUUUAUAUUCAUUUAUGCUCAUACAAUGCGACUACUCGCAACAAUUGCCCAUGUUAAUAAUUUUCAAAAUAUAUUUCUGAGUUGGCAUAGUGAUGGUAUUCGAAGAGCUGAGCUGCAAUCUGUUUAUACAUAUGAGUGAUGAAGUGAAAAGAAGAAAGUGAAUAUCUUUACCCCCAUGUA
Molecule: long non-coding RNA, 631 nt
Organism: Neltuma alba
Lineage: Eukaryota; Viridiplantae; Streptophyta; Magnoliopsida; Fabales; Fabaceae
Exons: 2
Source: RefSeq, a predicted model, not a curated record